Molecule: ribosomal RNA, 249 nt
Filed under: uncultured bacterium
Lineage: Bacteria
Description: partial 16S ribosomal RNA
Rfam family: Bacterial small subunit ribosomal RNA
Source: RNAcentral
AUACGUAGGUGGCGAGCGUUGUCCGGAAUUACUGGGCGUAAAGGGUGCGUAGGCGGAUAUUUAAGUCAGAUGUGAAAUUCCCGGGCUCAACCUGGGAAGUGCAUUUGAAACUGGGUAUCUAGAGUGCAGGAGAGGGAAGCGGAAUUCCUAGUGUAGCGGUAGAAAUGCGUAGAUAUUAGGAAGAACACCAGUGGCGAAGGCGGCUUCCUGGACUGUAACUGACGCUGAGGCAACGAAAGCGUGGGGAGC